This 287-nucleotide long non-coding RNA is filed under the name Lathyrus oleraceus (garden pea). Its description in RNAcentral is "Pisum sativum (pea) long non-coding RNA (PSAT_LNC024086)". Lineage: Eukaryota; Viridiplantae; Streptophyta; Magnoliopsida; Fabales; Fabaceae. The record is from RNAcentral.
UCGAAGCAUGUUGCUUCACACAAGAUUUUGACUUAGGCAUAUUUUAGUAGUGUUAGCUAUUUUGGGCUUUUAUAGUUUUGGGUUUUGGCUUAAGGUCCAAGUUAACCUAAGUCUAUAAAUAGAUGGAGUAACUCUUAUUUUUGUAAUGAAGUGAAUAGAGCAUUCAUAACAUUGUAUUCACAGUAUUUUAUAGUUGCAAAGUGAAUAAGAAGUUUUCCACAGUUUGUGGGCAGAGAGAAACUCUGCAGAAUUUUAUUACUCUUCUCUUUCAUCGUUCUUUAUUUUCU